Molecule: ribosomal RNA, 301 nt
Filed under: uncultured bacterium
Lineage: Bacteria
Description: partial 16S ribosomal RNA
Rfam family: Bacterial small subunit ribosomal RNA
Source: RNAcentral
CAGCCGCCGCGGGAAUACGGAGGGGGCAAGCGUUAUCCGGAAUUACUGGGUGUAAAGGGAGCGUAGACGGUUAAACAAGUCUGAAGUGAAAUGCCGGGGCUCAACCCCGGAGCUGCUUUGGGAACUGUAGAACUGGAGUGUCGGAGGGGUAAGCGGAAUUCCCAGUGUAGCGGUGAAAUGCGUAGAUAUUGGGAGGAACACCGGCGGCGAAGGCGGCCUACUGGACGACAACUGACGUUGAGGCUCGAAGGCGUGGGUAGCAAACAGGAUUAGAUACCCCCGUAGUCCCUGUCUCUUAUAC